Molecule: long non-coding RNA, 208 nt
Filed under: Mytilus galloprovincialis (Mediterranean mussel)
Lineage: Eukaryota; Metazoa; Mollusca; Bivalvia; Mytilida; Mytilidae
Source: RNAcentral
UUUGUCUAUAGAAAGAUAUAAAUAUUCUAAUAUCUCCAGACGUCUUUUCAAAAAAUUAAGAAAAGCUUGCACAGAUAUUAACAGUCUGUCUAAUUGUGUGUUCUUUACAUAAUUAAUGUAAUACUUUGCCUGUAGAAUACAAUAAUUUAAAACUAAGUUAUCAGAAUUUAAUACACCAAAAAUGACACUGUCUUUAUUCAAAAAUAUU